UACGGAGGAUCCAAGCGUUAUCCGGAUUCACUGGGUUUAAAGGGUGCGUAGGUGGGCUAGUAAGUCCGUGGUGAAAUCUCUGAGCUUAACUCGGAAACUGCCGUGGAUACUAUUAGUCUUGAAUCUCGUGGAGGUAAGCGGAAUAUGUCAUGUAGCGGUGAAAUGCUUAGAUAUGACAUAGAACACCGAUAGCGAAGGCAGCUUGCUACACGAGUAUUGACACUGAGGCACGAAAGCGUGGGGAUCAAACAGG
Molecule: ribosomal RNA, 253 nt
Filed under: uncultured bacterium
Lineage: Bacteria
Description: partial 16S ribosomal RNA
Rfam family: Bacterial small subunit ribosomal RNA
Source: RNAcentral